GACGAACGCUGGCGGCGUGCUUAACACAUGCAAGUCGAGCGGAAAGGCCCUUUCGGGGGUACUCGAGCGGCGAACGGGUGAGUAACACGUGAGUAAUCUGCCCCUGGCUUUGGGAUAGCCACCGGAAACGGUGAUUAACACCGGAUACGACCACUUCUCGCAUGGGAUGGUGGUGGAAAGUUUUUCGGCCAGGGAUGUGCUCGCGGCCUAUCAGCUUGAUGGUGAGGUAAUGGCUCACCAUGGCUUCGACGGGUAGCCGGCCUGAGAGGGUGACCGGUCACACUGGGACUGAGACACGGCCCUGACUCCUACGGGAGGCAGCAGUGGGGAAUAUUGGACAAUGGGCGGAAGCCUGAUCCAGCAAUGCCGCGUGAGGGAUGACGGCCUUCGGGUUGUAAACCUCUUUCAGCAGGGACGAAGCGCAAGUGACGGUACCUGCAGAAGAAGCACCGGCCAACUACGUGCCAGCAGCCGCAGUAA
This 480-nucleotide ribosomal RNA is filed under the name uncultured bacterium. Its description in RNAcentral is "partial 16S ribosomal RNA". It matches the Rfam family "Bacterial small subunit ribosomal RNA", at positions 28 to 523 of the family's 1533-position model. The record is from RNAcentral.